RNAcentral lists this ribosomal RNA (439 nucleotides) under uncultured bacterium. Its description in RNAcentral is "partial 16S ribosomal RNA". It matches the Rfam family "Bacterial small subunit ribosomal RNA", at positions 338 to 795 of the family's 1533-position model. The record is from RNAcentral.
CCUACGGGCGGCAGCAGUGGGGAAUAUUGCACAAUGGGGGAAACCCUGAUGCAGCGACGCCGCGUGAGUGAAGAAGUAUUUCGGUACGUAAAGCUCUAUCAGCAGGGAAGAAAAUGACGGUACCUGACUAACAAGCACCGACUAACUACGUGCCCGCAGCCGCGGUCAUACGGAGGGUGAGCGCGUUAUCGGGAUUAAUUGGGUUUAACGGGUGUGCAGGGGGAAUGUCAUGUCAGCGGUAAAAUUUCGGGGGGCAACCCCGUAGUGCCGUUGAAACUGGCGAUCUUGAGUGAGCGAGAGGUAAGCGGAAUGCGUGGUGUAGCGGUGAAAUGCAUAGAUAUCACGCGGAACACCGAUUGCGAAGGCGGCAUACCGGCGCUCAACUGACGCUGAGGCGCGAAAGCGUGGGUAGCAAACAGGAUUAGAUACCCUAGUAGUC